GACGAACGCUGGCGGCGUGCCUAAUACAUGCAAGUUGAGCGCUGAAGGUUGGUACUUGUACCAACUGGAUGAGCAGCGAACGGGUGAGUAACGCGUGGGGAAUCUGCCUUUGAGCGGGGGACAACAUUUGGAAACGAAUGCUAAUACCGCAUAAAAACUUUGAACACAAGUUUUAAGUUUGAAAGAUGCAAUUGCAUCACUCAAAGAUGAUCCCGCGUUGUAUUAGCUAGUUGGUGAGGUAAAGGCUCACCAAGGCGAUGAUACAUAGCCGACCUGAGAGGGUGAUCGGCCACAUUGGGACUGAGACACGGCCCAAACUCCUACGGGAGGCAGCAGUAGGGAAUCUUCGGCAAUGGACGAAAGUCUGACCGAGCAACGCCGCGUGAGUGAAGAAGGUUGUCGGAUCGUAAAACUCUGUUGGUAGAGAAGAACGUUGGUGAGAGUGGAAAGCUCAUCAAGUGACGGUAACUACCCAGAAAGGGACGGCUAACUACGUG
RNAcentral lists this ribosomal RNA (497 nucleotides) under uncultured bacterium. Its description in RNAcentral is "partial 16S ribosomal RNA". It matches the Rfam family "Bacterial small subunit ribosomal RNA", at positions 28 to 507 of the family's 1533-position model. The record is from RNAcentral.